GUCGAACGCUGAAGCCGUCUUCGGGACGGUGGAUGAGUGGCGAACGGGUGAGUAACACGUGGGUAAUCUGCCCUGUACUCUGGGAUAAGCCUGGGAAACUGGGUCUAAUACCGGAUAGGACACGCUACCGCAUGGUGGUGUGUGGAAAGCUUCGGCGGUACAGGAUGAGCCCGCGGCCUAUCAGCUAGUUGGUGGGGUGAUGGCCUACCAAGGCGACGACGGGUAGCCGGCCUGAGAGGGUGACCGGCCACACUGGGACUGAGACACGGCCCAGACUCCUACGGGAGGCAGCAGUGGGGAAUAUUGCACAAUGGGCGGAAGCCUGAUGCAGCGACGCCGCGUGGGGGAUGACGGCCUUCGGGUUGUAAACCCCUUUCGCCCGGGACGAAGCGAGAGUGACGGUACCGGGAGAAGAAGCACCGGCCAACUACGUGCCAGCAGCC
This 443-nucleotide ribosomal RNA is filed under the name Saccharomonospora viridis. RNAcentral describes it as "bacterial SSU rRNA". It matches the Rfam family "Bacterial small subunit ribosomal RNA", at positions 61 to 516 of the family's 1533-position model. The record is from RNAcentral. Lineage: Bacteria; Bacillati; Actinomycetota; Actinomycetes; Pseudonocardiales; Pseudonocardiaceae.